RNAcentral lists this ribosomal RNA (441 nucleotides) under uncultured bacterium. RNAcentral describes it as "bacterial SSU rRNA". It matches the Rfam family "Bacterial small subunit ribosomal RNA", at positions 28 to 478 of the family's 1533-position model. The record is from RNAcentral.
GACGAACGCUGGCGGCGUGCCUAACACAUGCAAGUCGAGCGGAGGAUUCAAGAUGUUUACAUUGAGAAUCCUUAGCGGCGGACGGGUGAGUAACACGUGGGUAACCUGCCUCAAAGUGGGGGAUAGCCUUUCGAAAGGAAGAUUAAUACCGCAUAAGCCUCCGGUGCCGCAUGGCGCUGAAGGAAAAGGAGCAAUUCGCUUUGAGAUGGACCCGCGGCGCAUUAGCUAGUUGGUGAGGUAACGGCUCACCAAGGCCACGAUGCGUAGCCGACCUGAGAGGUGAUCGGCCACAUUGGAACUGAGACACGGUCCAGACUCCUACGGGAGGCAGCAGUGGGGAAUAUUGCACAAUGGGCGAAAGCCUGAUGCAGCAACGCCGCGUGAGUGAUGAAGGCCUCGGUCGUAAAGCUCUUUGUAUCAGGGAGUGAGUAAUGACAGUAC